GAUGAACGCUGGCGGCGUGCCUAAUACAUGCAAGUCGAGCGAACAGACGAGGAGCUUGCUCCUCUGAUGUUAGCGGCGGACGGGUGAGUAACACGUGGAUAACCUACCUAUAAGACUGGGAUAACUUCGGGAAACCGGAGCUAAUACCGGAUAACAUGUUGAACCGCAUGGUUCAACAGUGAAAGACGGUUUUGCUGUCACUUAUAGAUGGAUCCGCGCCGCAUUAGCUAGUUGGUAAGGUAACGGCUUACCAAGGCAACGAUGCGUAGCCGACCUGAGAGGGUGAUCGGCCACACUGGAACUGAGACACGGUCCAGACUCCUACGGGAGGCAGCAGUAGGGAAUCUUCCGCAAUGGGCGAAAGCCUGACGGAGCAACGCCGCGUGAGUGAAGAAGAUCUUCGGAUCGUAAAACUCUGUUAUUAGGGAAGAACAAAUGUGUAAGUAACUAUGCACGUCUUGACGGUACCUAAUCAGAAAGCCACGGCUAACUACGUG
RNAcentral lists this ribosomal RNA (497 nucleotides) under uncultured bacterium. RNAcentral describes it as "partial 16S ribosomal RNA". It matches the Rfam family "Bacterial small subunit ribosomal RNA", at positions 28 to 507 of the family's 1533-position model. The record is from RNAcentral.